AUUGAACGCUGGCGGCAUGCCUUACACAUGCAAGUCGAACGGUAACAGGUCUUCGGAUGCUGACGAGUGGAGAACGGGUGAGUAAUACAUCGGAACGUGCCCGAUCGCGGGGGAUAACGAGGCGAAAGCUUUGCUAAUACCGCAUACGAUCUACGGAUGAAAGCGGGGGACCUUCGGACCUCGCGCGGACGGGGCGGCCGAUGGCAGAUUAGGUAGUUGGUGGAAUAAAAGCUUACCAAGCCGACGAUCUGUAGCUGGACUGAGGGGAUGAUCAGCCACACUGUGACUGAGACACGGCCCAGACUCCUACGGGAGGCAGCAGUGGGGAAUUUUGGACAAUGGGCGAAAGCCUGAUCCAGCCAUGCCGCGUGCAGGAUGAAGGCCUUCGGGUUGUAAACUGCUUUUGUACGGAACGAAAAGCCUCUUUCUAAUAAAGAGAGGUCAUGACGGUACCGUAAGAAUAAGCACCGGCUAACUACGUG
RNAcentral lists this ribosomal RNA (482 nucleotides) under uncultured bacterium. RNAcentral describes it as "partial 16S ribosomal RNA". It matches the Rfam family "Bacterial small subunit ribosomal RNA", at positions 30 to 507 of the family's 1533-position model. The record is from RNAcentral.